RNAcentral lists this ribosomal RNA (253 nucleotides) under uncultured bacterium. Its description in RNAcentral is "partial 16S ribosomal RNA". It matches the Rfam family "Bacterial small subunit ribosomal RNA", at positions 524 to 776 of the family's 1533-position model. The record is from RNAcentral.
UACGGAGGGUGCAAGCGUUGUUCGGAAUUACUGGGCGUAAAGCGCACGUAGGCGGCCUGUGAAGUCCGGUGUGAAAUCCCUUGGCUUAACCAAGGAAGUGCGCUGGAAACCAGCAGGCUAGGGUGCAGUAGGGGCUCGUGGAAUUCCUGGUGUAGCGGUGAAAUGCGUAGAUAUCAGGAGGAACACCGGUGGUGAAGACGACGAGCGGGGCUGUAAACGACGUUUAGGUGCGAAAGCGUGGGGAGCAAACAGG